AGUGAACGCUGGCGGUAGGCCUAACACAUGCAAGUCGAACGGCAGCACAGUAAGAGCUUGCUCUUACGGGUGGCGAGUGGCGGACGGGUGAGGAAUACAUCGGAAUCUACUUUUUCGUGGGGGAUAACGUGGGGAAACUUACGCUACUACCGCAUACGUCCUACGGGUGAAAGCAGGGGAUCUUCGGACCUUGCGCGAUUGAUUGAGCCGAUGUCGGAUUAGCUAGUUGGUGGGGUAAAGGCCCACCAAGGCGACGAUCCGUAGCUGGUCUGAGAGGAUGAUCAGCCACACUGGAACUGAGACACGGUCCAGACUCCUACGGGAGGCAGCAGUGGGGAAUAUUGGACAAUGGGCGCAAGCCUGAUCCAGCCAUACCGCGUGGGUGAAGAAGGCCUUCGGGUUGUAAAGCCCUUUUGUUGGGAAAGAAAAGCAGCAGGUUAAUACCCCGCUGUUCUGACGGUACCCAAAGAAUAAGCACCGGCUAACUUCGUG
RNAcentral lists this ribosomal RNA (492 nucleotides) under uncultured bacterium. Its description in RNAcentral is "partial 16S ribosomal RNA". It matches the Rfam family "Bacterial small subunit ribosomal RNA", at positions 29 to 507 of the family's 1533-position model. The record is from RNAcentral.